Molecule: ribosomal RNA, 2902 nt
Filed under: Klebsiella pneumoniae
Lineage: Bacteria; Pseudomonadati; Pseudomonadota; Gammaproteobacteria; Enterobacterales; Enterobacteriaceae
Description: 23S ribosomal RNA
Rfam family: Bacterial large subunit ribosomal RNA
Source: RNAcentral
GGUUAAGCGACUAAGCGUACACGGUGGAUGCCCUGGCAGUCAGAGGCGAUGAAGGACGUGCUAAUCUGCGAAAAGCGUCGGUAAGGUGAUAUGAACCGUUAUAACCGGCGAUGUCCGAAUGGGGAAACCCAGUGUGAUUCGUCACACUAUCGUUAACUGAAUACAUAGGUUAACGAGGCGAACCGGGGGAACUGAAACAUCUAAGUACCCCGAGGAAAAGAAAUCAACCGAGAUUCCCCCAGUAGCGGCGAGCGAACGGGGAGCAGCCCAGAGUCUGAAUCAGCUUGUGUGUUAGUGGAACGGUCUGGAAAGUCCGACGGUACAGGGUGAUAGUCCCGUACACCAAAAUGCACAGGUUGUGAACUCGAAGAGUAGGGCGGGACACGUGGUAUCCUGUCUGAAUAUGGGGGGACCAUCCUCCAAGGCUAAAUACUCCUGACUGACCGAUAGUGAACCAGUACCGUGAGGGAAAGGCGAAAAGAACCCCGGCGAGGGGAGUGAAAAAGAACCUGAAACCGUGUACGUACAAGCAGUGGGAGCACCUUCGGGUGUGACUGCGUACCUUUUGUAUAAUGGGUCAGCGACUUAUAUUCUGUAGCAAGGUUAACCGUAUAGGGGAGCCGCAGGGAAACCGAGUCUUAACUGGGCGUUAAGUUGCAGGGUAUAGACCCGAAACCCGGUGAUCUAGCCAUGGGCAGGUUGAAGGUUGGGUAACACUAACUGGAGGACCGAACCGACUAAUGUUGAAAAAUUAGCGGAUGACUUGUGGCUGGGGGUGAAAGGCCAAUCAAACCGGGAGAUAGCUGGUUCUCCCCGAAAGCUAUUUAGGUAGCGCCUCGUGAACUCAUCUUCGGGGGUAGAGCACUGUUUCGGCUAGGGGGGCAUCCCGACUUACCAACCCGAUGCAAACUACGAAUACCGAAGAAUGUUAUCACGGGAGACACACGGCGGGUGCUAACGUCCGUCGUGAAGAGGGAAACAACCCAGACCGCCAGCUAAGGUCCCAAAGUCAUGGUUAAGUGGGAAACGAUGUGGGAAGGCACAGACAGCCAGGAUGUUGGCUUAGAAGCAGCCAUCAUUUAAAGAAAGCGUAAUAGCUCACUGGUCGAGUCGGCCUGCGCGGAAGAUGUAACGGGGCUAAACCAUGCACCGAAGCUGCGGCAGCGACACUAUGUGUUGUUGGGUAGGGGAGCGUUCUGUAAGCCUGCGAAGGUGUGCUGUGAGGCAUGCUGGAGGUAUCAGAAGUGCGAAUGCUGACAUAAGUAACGAUAAAGCGGGUGAAAAGCCCGCUCGCCGGAAGACCAAGGGUUCCUGUCCAACGUUAAUCGGGGCAGGGUGAGUCGACCCCUAAGGCGAGGCCGAAAGGCGUAGUCGAUGGGAAACAGGUUAAUAUUCCUGUACUUGGUGUUACUGCGAAGGGGGGACGGAGAAGGCUAUGUUAGCCGGGCGACGGUUGUCCCGGUUUAAGCAUGUAGGCUGAUUGUCCAGGCAAAUCCGGAUAAUCAAGGCUGAGGUGUGAUGACGAGGCACUACGGUGCUGAAGUAACAAAUGCCCUGCUUCCAGGAAAAGCCUCUAAGCAUCAGGUAACAUCAAAUCGUACCCCAAACCGACACAGGUGGUCAGGUAGAGAAUACCAAGGCGCUUGAGAGAACUCGGGUGAAGGAACUAGGCAAAAUGGUGCCGUAACUUCGGGAGAAGGCACGCUGGUGUGUAGGUGAAGUCCCUGCGGAUGGAGCUGAGACCAGUCGAAGAUACCAGCUGGCUGCAACUGUUUAUUAAAAACACAGCACUGUGCAAACACGAAAGUGGACGUAUACGGUGUGACGCCUGCCCGGUGCCGGAAGGUUAAUUGAUGGGGUUAUCCGUAAGGAGAAGCUCUUGAUCGAAGCCCCGGUAAACGGCGGCCGUAACUAUAACGGUCCUAAGGUAGCGAAAUUCCUUGUCGGGUAAGUUCCGACCUGCACGAAUGGCGUAAUGAUGGCUAGGCUGUCUCCACCCGAGACUCAGUGAAAUUGAACUCGCUGUGAAGAUGCAGUGUACCCGCGGCAAGACGGAAAGACCCCGUGAACCUUUACUAUAGCUUGACACUGAACAUUGAGCCUUGAUGUGUAGGAUAGGUGGGAGGCUUUGAAGCGUGGACGCCAGUCUGCGUGGAGCCAACCUUGAAAUACCACCCUUUAAUGUUUGAUGUUCUAACGUUGGCCCCUUACCGGGGUUGCGGACAGUGUCUGGUGGGUAGUUUGACUGGGGCGGUCUCCUCCCAAAGCGUAACGGAGGAGCACGAAGGUUAGCUAAUCCUGGUCGGACAUCAGGAGGUUAGUGCAAUGGCAUAAGCUAGCUUGACUGCGAGCGUGACGGCGCGAGCAGGUGCGAAAGCAGGUCAUAGUGAUCCGGUGGUUCUGAAUGGAAGGGCCAUCGCUCAACGGAUAAAAGGUACUCCGGGGAUAACAGGCUGAUACCGCCCAAGAGUUCAUAUCGACGGCGGUGUUUGGCACCUCGAUGUCGGCUCAUCACAUCCUGGGGCUGAAGUAGGUCCCAAGGGUAUGGCUGUUCGCCAUUUAAAGUGGUACGCGAGCUGGGUUUAGAACGUCGUGAGACAGUUCGGUCCCUAUCUGCCGUGGGCGCUGGAGAAUUGAGGGGGGCUGCUCCUAGUACGAGAGGACCGGAGUGGACGCAUCACUGGUGUUCGGGUUGUCAUGCCAAUGGCACUGCCCGGUAGCUAAAUGCGGAAGAGAUAAGUGCUGAAAGCAUCUAAGCACGAAACUUGCCCCGAGAUGAGUUCUCCCUGAGACUUUAAGUCUCCUGAAGGAACGUUGAAGACGACGACGUUGAUAGGCCGGGUGUGUAAGCGCAGCGAUGCGUUGAGCUAACCGGUACUAAUGAACCGUGAGGCUUAACCUU